UACGAAGGGGGCUAGCGUUGCUCGGAAUCACUGGGCGUAAAGCGCACGUAGGCGGGUUGUUAAGUCGGGGGUGAAAUCCUGGAGCUCAACUCCAGAACUGCCUUCGAUACUGGCGAUCUUGAGUCCGGGAGAGGUGAGUGGAACUCCGAGUGUAGAGGUGAAAUUCGUAGAUAUUCGCAAGAACACCAGUGGCGAAGGCGGCUCACUGGCCCGUAACUGACGCUGAGGCACGAAAGCGUGGGGAGCAAACAGG
This 253-nucleotide ribosomal RNA is filed under the name uncultured bacterium. RNAcentral describes it as "partial 16S ribosomal RNA". It matches the Rfam family "Bacterial small subunit ribosomal RNA", at positions 524 to 776 of the family's 1533-position model. The record is from RNAcentral.